CCCACACCCAUGUGUGUAGGACCCCAAAGGAUCACCAUUAAAUUUGGUACAGAUAUCUAAAAACGUCAUCACAUUGGUGUGGGACUUGACUUUUCUAGAGAUCUACGCCAAAUUUAAUGGUAAUCCUUUGAGGUCCUACACACAUGAGUGCGGG
Molecule: microRNA precursor, 154 nt
Filed under: Amborella trichopoda
Lineage: Eukaryota; Viridiplantae; Streptophyta; Magnoliopsida; Amborellales; Amborellaceae
Description: MIR8565 microRNA precursor family
Rfam family: MIR8565 microRNA precursor family
Source: Rfam by way of RNAcentral